GAUGAGCGCUGGCGGCGUGCCUAAUACAUGCAAGUCGAGCGAACGGACGAGACGCUUGCUUCUCUGAUGUUAGCGGCGGACGGGUGAGUAACACGUGGAUAACCUACCUAUAAGACUGGGAUAACUUCGGGAAACCGGAGCUAAUACCGGAUAAUAUUUUGAACCGCAUGGUUCAAAAGUGAAAGAGGGUCUUGCUGUAACUUAUAGAUGGAUCCGCGCUGCAUUAGCUAGUUGGUAAGGUAACGGCUUACCAAGGCAACGAUGCAUAGCCGACCUGAGAGGGUGAUCGGCCACACUGGAACUGAGACACGGUCCAGACUCCUACGGGAGGCAGCAGUAGGGAAUCUUCCGCAAUGGGCGAAAGCCUGACGGAGCAACGCCGCGUGAGUGAUGAAGGUCUUCGGAUCGUAAAACUCUGUUAUUAGGGAAGAACAUAUGUGUAAGUAACUGUGCACAUCUUGACGGUACCUAAUCAGAAAGCCACGGCUAACUACGUG
Molecule: ribosomal RNA, 497 nt
Filed under: uncultured bacterium
Lineage: Bacteria
Description: partial 16S ribosomal RNA
Rfam family: Bacterial small subunit ribosomal RNA
Source: RNAcentral